UAAGCGCGCGUAGGUGGCUUGAUAAGCCGGUUGUGGCUUCAACCUGGGAACGGCAUCCGGAACUGUUAGSAGGAGAGGAAGGUAGAAUUCCCGGUGUAGCGGUGAAAUGCGUAGAGAUCGGGAGGAAUACCAGUGGCGAAGGCGGCCUUCUGGACUGACACUGACACUGAGGUGCGAAAGCGUGGGUAGCAAACAGGAUUAGAUACCCUGGUAGUCCACGCCGUAAACGAUGUCGACCAGCCGUUGGGUGCCUAGAGCACUUUGUGGCGAAGUUAACGCGAUAAGUCGACCGCCUGGGGAGUACGGCCGCAAGGUUAAAACUCAAAUGAAUUGACGGGGGCCCGCACAAGCGGUGGAGCAUGUGGUUUAAUUCGAUGCAACGCGAAGAACCUUACCUACCCUUGACAUCUACAGAAGCCGGAAGAGAUUCUGGUGUGCCUUCGGGAACUGUAAGACAGGUGCUGCAUGGCUGUCGUCAGCUCGUGUUGUGAAAUGUUGGGUUAAGUCCCGUAACGAGCGCAACCCUUGUCSUUAUUUGCCAGCGAGURRUGUCGGGAACUCUAAGGAGAC
RNAcentral lists this ribosomal RNA (570 nucleotides) under Vreelandella boliviensis. Its description in RNAcentral is "bacterial SSU rRNA". It matches the Rfam family "Bacterial small subunit ribosomal RNA", at positions 562 to 1149 of the family's 1533-position model. The record is from RNAcentral. Lineage: Bacteria; Pseudomonadati; Pseudomonadota; Gammaproteobacteria; Oceanospirillales; Halomonadaceae.